GAUGAACGCUGGCGGCGUGCCUAAUACAUGCAAGUCGAGCGAACAGACGAGGAGCUUGCUCCUCUGACGUUAGCGGCGGACGGGUGAGUAACACGUGGAUAACCUACCUAUAAGACUGGGAUAACUUCGGGAAACCGGAGCUAAUACCGGAUAAUAUAUUGAACCGCAUGGUUCAAUAGUUAAAGACGGUUUUGCUGUCACUUAUAGAUGGAUCCGCGCCGCAUUAGCUAGUUGGUAAGGUAACGGCUUACCAAGGCAACGAUGCGUAGCCGACCUGAGAGGGUGAUCGGCCACACUGGAACUGAGACACGGUCCAGACUCCUACGGGAGGCAGCAGUAGGGAAUCUUCCGCAAUGGGCGAAAGCCUGACGGAGCAACGCCGCGUGAGUGAUGAAGGUCUUCGGAUCGUAAAACUCUGUUAUUAGGGAAGAACAAAUGUGUAAGUAACUAUGCACGUCUUGACGGUAACUAAUCAGAAAGCCACGGCUAACUACGUG
RNAcentral lists this ribosomal RNA (497 nucleotides) under uncultured bacterium. Its description in RNAcentral is "partial 16S ribosomal RNA". It matches the Rfam family "Bacterial small subunit ribosomal RNA", at positions 28 to 507 of the family's 1533-position model. The record is from RNAcentral.